ACUCCUACGGGAGGCAGCAGUAGGGAAUCUUCCACAAUGGGCGCAAGCCUGAUGGAGCAACACCGCGUGAGUGAAGAAGGGUUUCGGCUCGUAAAGCUCUGUUGUUAAAGAAGAACACGUAUGAGAGUAACUGUUCAUACGUUGACGGUAUUUAACCAGAAAGUCACGGCUAACUACGUGCCAGCAGCCGCGGUAAUACGUAGGUGGCAAGCGUUAUCCGGAUUUAUUGGGCGUAAAGAGAGUGCAGGCGGUUUUCUAAGUCUGAUGUGAAAGCCUUCGGCUUAACCGGAGAAGUGCAUCGGAAACUGGAUAACUUGAGUGCAGAAGAGGGUAGUGGAACUCCAUGUGUAGCGGUGGAAUGCGUAGAUAUAUGGAAGAACACCAGUGGCGAAGGCGGCUACCUGGUCUGCAACUGACGCUGAGACUCGAAAGCAUGGGUAGCGAACAGGAUUAGAUACCCUGGUAGGAUACGG
Molecule: ribosomal RNA, 473 nt
Filed under: uncultured bacterium
Lineage: Bacteria
Description: bacterial SSU rRNA
Rfam family: Bacterial small subunit ribosomal RNA
Source: RNAcentral